This 1458-nucleotide ribosomal RNA is filed under the name uncultured Bordetella sp. RNAcentral describes it as "partial 16S-23S ribosomal RNA intergenic spacer". It matches the Rfam family "Bacterial small subunit ribosomal RNA". Lineage: Bacteria; Pseudomonadati; Pseudomonadota; Betaproteobacteria; Burkholderiales; Alcaligenaceae. The record is from RNAcentral.
AGUUUGAUUCUGGCUCAGAUUGAACGCUGGCGGGAUGCUACACAUGCAAGUCGAACGGCAGCACGGACUUCGGUCUGGUGGCGAGUGGCAGUUGGGUGAGUAAUGUAUCGGAACGUGCCUAGUAGCGGGGAUAUUCGCGAAAGCGUAGCUAAUACCAUACGCCCUUCGAGGAAAGCAGGGGACCUUUGAGCCUCUUACUAUUAGAGCAACCAAUCAUCGGAUUAGCUAGUUGGUGGGGUAACGGCUCACCAAGGCGACGAUCCGUAGCUGGUUUGAGAGACGACCAACCACACUGGGACUGGGGCGGCCCGAACUCCUACGGGAGGCGGCAGUAGAAAUUUUGAACAAUGGGGAAACCUGAUCCAGCCAUCCCGCGUGUGCGAUGAAGGCCUUCGGGUUGUAAAGCACUUUUGGCAGGAAAGAAACGGCACGGGAUAAUACCCCGUGCAACUGGCAAUACCUGCCAGAAUAAGCACCAGCCAACUACGUGCCAGCAACCGCGGUAAUACGUAAGUUACCGUUAAUCGGAAUUACUGAGGCGUAAAGCGUGCCGCAGGCGGUUCGGAAGAAAGUAAAUCCGGAAACGCACUUUGGAACUGCAUUUUUAACACCGACUGAAAUUGUGUCAGGGAGGUGGAAUUCCGCGCUGAUAUUAGCGAUGAAAUGCGUAGAUAUGGAGGGCGCACCGAUGGCGAAGGCAACCUCCUGGGAUAACACUGACGCUCAUACUGCUUGUGGGGAGCAAGCAGGAUUAGAAGUACCCUGAUGAGAUCCCGCACCUAAACGAUGUCAACUGGCUGUUGGGGCCUUCGGGCCUUGGUAGCGCAGCUAACGCGUGAAGUUGACCGCCUGGGUACGGUCGCAAGAUUAAAACUCAAAGGAAUUGACGGGGACCCGCACAAGCGGUGGAUGAUGUGGAUUAAUUCGAUGCAACGCGAAAAACCUUACUGCCCUUGACAUGUCUGGAAUCCCGAAGAGAUUUGGGAGUGCUCGCAAGAGAACCGGAACACAGGUGCUGCAUGGCUGUCGUCAGCUCGUGUCGUGAGAUGUUGGGUUAAGUCCGCAGCAGGCGCAACCCUUGUCAUUAGUUGCUACGAAGGGCACUCUAAUGAGACUGCCGGUGACAAACCGGAGGAAGGUGGGGAUGACGUCAAGUCCUCAUGGCCCUUAUGGGUAGGGCUUCACACGUCAUGCAAUGGUCGGGACAGAGGGUCGCCAACCCGCGAGGGGGAGCCAAUCCCAGAAACCCGAUCGUAGUCCGGAUCGCAGUCUGCAACUCGACUGCGUGAAGUCGGAAUCGCUAGUAAUCGCGGAUCAGCAUGUCGCGGUGAAUACGUUCCCGGGUCUUGUACCACACCGCCGUCACCAUGGGGUGGUUUUACCAGAAGUAGUUAGCCCCAGCAAUAAGGAGGGCGAUUGCGGUAGGAUUCAUGACUGAGGUGAAGUCGUAACAGGUAA